This 517-nucleotide ribosomal RNA is filed under the name uncultured bacterium. RNAcentral describes it as "bacterial SSU rRNA". It matches the Rfam family "Bacterial small subunit ribosomal RNA", at positions 20 to 518 of the family's 1533-position model. The record is from RNAcentral.
UGGCUCAGGAUGAACGCUGGCGGCGUGCUUAACACAUGCAAGUCGAACGAAGCACCUCUAAUCGAAGAUUGAGAAAGCUUGCUUUGAUUGAUUCACCUUGAGGUGACUGAGUGGCGGACGGGUGAGUAACGCGUGGGUAACCUACCCUAUACAGGGGGAUAACAGUUGGAAACGACUGCUAAUACCGCAUAAGCGCACAGGACCGCAUGGUCUAGUGUGAAAAACUCCGGUGGUAUAGGAUGGACCCGCGUCUGAUUAGCUAGUUGGUGAGGUAACGGCUCACCAAGGCGACGAUCAGUAGCCGACCUGAGAGGGUGACCGGCCACAUUGGGACUGAGACACGGCCCAAACUCCCACGGGAGGCAGCAGUGGGGAAUAUUGCACAAUGGGCGAAAGCCUGAUUGCAGCGACGCCGCGUGAACGAAGAAGUAUUUCGGUAUGUAAAGUUCUAUCAGCAGGGAAGAAAAAUGACGGUACCUGACUAAGAAGCUCCGGCUAAAUACGUGCCAGCCGCAGC